AUGCAGGGCUGGGUGAGUUAUUGUUGGCUGCAUGCAGAAAAAGGAGGAGAUGAAGUUGCGUGUGAGGGAUUAAUGAAGUACUAUUCCCAAUAUUUGCUCCUCUGUUUAUGCAACAGCCUUGGUAUGAGAGAUUCAAAACUUAGGCCAUGUAUAGAUGGAAGGAGGGAGUACUAUUAUUGUGAAAGUUCAUAUACACUCGAUGAGAUUCAUGCAAACAUGGCAGAUUUUCAUUACAUUUCGAACUUUUAUAGGGCAGAAAAAGAAAAGAAACCCGACCCUAAACCUAUUCUACAGCGGUGA
RNAcentral lists this ribosomal RNA (300 nucleotides) under Triticum aestivum (bread wheat). Its description in RNAcentral is "partial small subunit ribosomal RNA". Lineage: Eukaryota; Viridiplantae; Streptophyta; Magnoliopsida; Poales; Poaceae. The record is from RNAcentral.